RNAcentral lists this small RNA (139 nucleotides) under Thermoanaerobacteraceae bacterium. RNAcentral describes it as "partial 6S RNA". It matches the Rfam family "6S / SsrS RNA", at positions 46 to 187 of the family's 187-position model. From Rfam's summary of the family: E. coli 6S RNA was the first non coding RNA to be sequenced, but its function was unknown until recently. Lineage: Bacteria; Bacillati; Bacillota; Clostridia; Thermoanaerobacterales; Thermoanaerobacteraceae. The record is from RNAcentral.
ACUCUGAUAUAGGGAGUUCGGUCUCUGAAUGCGGCAUAUAUGCCCUCUUAGAAGGGAAAUAUAAAGCACUCAGGAGGACACCCACCUGGGGAGCCGGGUCUCUAUUUACAGUCAGCGAACACGGCAUGGUGGGGCUUUU